Equus caballus (horse) is the source of this 5382-nucleotide long non-coding RNA. The record is from Ensembl. NCBI's taxonomy places the organism in Eukaryota, Metazoa, Chordata, Mammalia, Perissodactyla, Equidae.
UCUAGGUAUUUUGCUAAGCAUAGGCAGUUCUCCCCUGAAGAGGAAUGUCUUAACAUAAGAUAAGAUAAAAUUUAUUAGCAGGAUGGGCACCACGUGGUUUUGAAAACUGGCAGGGUCCAGUAUGGUUAGAAUGUUGGGUAUGGAGGGCAAGAGGCAAGAGAGAAAGAUGGAAAGGUCAGCUGGGCCCAGCUGAAGGGCCCUAUAAGGCCAGGCUAUGGUGUGCGCAUCUCAUCUUGGAGGCAGAGGAGCCAUGGAUCUAAGCGGAGAAACACACAAGGCAGCCGCGAAGUUUACUGUCCAUGCAAGGACCCACUUGAGAGCGGAUGGCCGUGCCAACCAGAUGGAACGCCCGGACAGCAGGUGUAAACCAGGACAUCCUGGCAAACAGGUCGGUUGGGUCCCCCAAGACAGAUGGAACACUUCUGUGCCCAAGGCCACUACCAAGGGCUUUUGAAGGCCCCAUGUGUGCUGGAAAUAUUACUAAAUCUCACAAAAACCCAGGGUGAUUUCUUCCUGAAAUCAUCCAUUACUUCCUCCUUGGUUCAUCUGUUCUCAGUAACUUACUAUUUCUGGACCCCAGGACACUUCCACCACGAAGUCUUUUCUCUACUUACAAUGCUCCUGUCCGUCUUUCCCGUCUCCAUCCAUGGAGAUCCCAGUGAUUCUUCGAGACCUAACUCAGCAGUGCCUCUUGUGUGAAGAAAGGGCGGGUUGGGGACCUUUUUGUUACCUAAGCUCCUGCAGAGCUGCAUCUGUAUCCUUUUGGGGCAUUUGCCUCCUUCCAUUUUGUUACGUUUCUGGGUGGAAUCAUGUCCACUGCUGAGCUGAGAGGAGGGACCAAGCCCAAAGCCUGGAGUCCCCAGAACCCCGGGGCCACCGAAGCCGGACGUGCGCACUUAACUGCUGCGCCAACGGGCCGGCCCCGCCACUACUUCUGAUGCUAAUGGUCACUCUUGUAUCCGUAUCGACCUGAUCAUUCUUGCAGGUGUUGCUGCUGGCCUUCCUGCACUGGAUGCUCACAGAGAGAGGAGAGAUGUUUCUAACAAAAAGAGGGUGCCCCGUAUUCUCAGUUUGUUGUCAAAUUUCCCCCGAUGGAGCUCACCACAAGUUUCUGCACAGUUGAAAGAAAUAUGAGGGCACCUUCCCUAGGACACCCAACAUACUUCUCUGGACAGCAAAUGCCCCGUGUUCCAGCAAAGGUGCUAUGAACACAACAAAUCUAUGCCUUUUUAUAUGUACUUUUUAUACACUAGACACUAUGCUAAAUGCUCUAUAUAUGUUGUCUCAUUUGAUCUUACUUUAGUGAGGUAGGUACUACCAUUGUUCCUAUUCUACAGGUGAGGACACAGAUGUGCAGAGACCCAGCACCUCGACCCUCUGAUCUCAAGGUGAGAGGGUGGAGGCAGCUCACUCUGCUCUUCAGAUUUAACGGGACUUUUCACUGCAUUGCAGUCACCAACCCUGACUGUUGUCCUCCAGUCUCGUCAAGCGCCCACUGGGUCAUCCAGGCAACCAUUCUCCAGCAGAAAUCCCUCCUGUGCCUGAUGUGUAGGUGGACAUUAGGCCUCACUGAAUUACAUGGGCUGAUGGCGCUCAGUUUUCUUUUAGUUACAAUGCAAUUCAAAAUGUGAAUAAAGGCUCAAGAAAUAGGAAAUGCGGUCUGAACAAUAACGAAAGCUAAGAUAUUGAGUAAUAUCGCCAUGCUCUGUUCUGUGAGGACUCGGUCCUCAUAACAACCCCAAGAGGUAGGGACUAUUAUUAUUCCCAUUUUAUAGGCACAGACAGGUUAAGUAACUUGCACAAGAUUGCACAGCUCAUAAGUGGAGAAGCCAGCAUUUGAAUCCAGCAAUAGGGUAGGUCUGUUUCUCGCAAAUGCCAAAUACAGCAAGACUUUCAAUCUUCCUGUAUGCUUCUUUCUUAUCGCACUUUAGAAAAGAAUUCACCAAAAAUACCAGAAUUGAAAUCAGGCAUGAGCAGUAGUUCAAACGAGAGGUUCACAUCCAAUGAGUUCUACUCGUAGGCAGAGGGGAAAGGAAAAACUAAAAAGACUGAAAAUAUAAAGAAGAGAAAGGAAAGUGCUGGGGCCGGCCCCACGGUGCAGCGUUAAGUACGCACGUUCCACUUCGGCAACCCGGGGUUUGCCGGUUUGGAUCCCGGGUGUGGACAUGGCACCGCUUGGCAUGCCGUACUGUGGUAGGCGUCCCACAUAUAAAGUAGAGGAAGAUGGGCACGGAUGUUAGCUCAGGGCCAGUCUUCCUCAGAGAGAAGAGGAGGAUUGGCAGCAGUUAGCUCAGGGCUAAUCUUCCUCAAAAAAAACAAAAGAAGUAGUGGCAAAUUAAGCCCAUUAAGUCACAGGCUGCGAAGAGACAAGGAAUCUUUAUUAAUCACCAGCAGAGGACAUGACCUAGGAGACUCUGCCAGGAGAAAGGCAGUCAGAGCACCCACGGUUCUCCGGGUGGGGGCUCGGAGCCAGUGGGUUUGCACUAGCGUGGUUACUGCAUCCUGCACUCCUAGAAUGACUCACGCAGACCAUGGCGCCUCGAGAACUAGGGGUUACAGACAGUACCGAAUCACAGUCCCGGGGAAAGGAGUUUGUCCGUUUCCACACACAUCUGCACCUGACCCAUACGUCUAUCUUGUCCAAGGAUCCCCAAGGGAGGGCAUCCCACCAACUUUCCUUGCCAUUCUAUGCCAACAAUCACCAUUUUUUUCUUUAUGUUUAUCCUUAUUAGUGUCCAUUCCUUCUUCGGCUCUGUUUGUGGAGAGAUAGCUAAGGUGGUUUGCAUUUUCCUGUGGCAAGCACAUCUCAGAAAGUCCAAAUGGCACAGUUUCCCUCCGUUAAUUUUCACUUAGAUCUUAACCUUCUCAUUUUAUUUCACUUGGACUCUGGAUAGCCAAGUAGAAAUAAUGCUUGGCGGCCUUUGGGCAGGACACCGGCUGCUUCUCCACCCCUUCUCCUGUGGUUUAGUGAACCACACAGUCCGGUUCUGCAAUAUCCUUGUUUCUGGACUUCUAACCUCCUUCCCAGCAGGGAGAUGAUUCAUGCUAAAAGCCACGUCUUACACCAAGGCUUACUGGGCACACCAAAUGCUCAUUCAAAUGGCAACAUCUGUCCUUGGAACCCAAGGUUAAAUUUAGUUAAAGACGUCCCAACUCUGCCCCCAGCCCUCUUCAGUUCCAUCCGCUUUACUUUCCUGAAGAUGUGACGAGAAAGAUUUCAGAAGUGAGCACGACGGUGCGUCCCAGUUCUCUGGGCAGAGCUGCACCCGGCGCUGGGACUCUAUGAUGCUCUGAAGGAGGCAUGACCGUGCAGUGGGCUUACAACAAACUCACCGUUGGCAGAAGCUUCCAUGUCACCACUUUGGCCCUGGUAAAAGCAGAUUUCACGGCAGCACAGGGACGGGCUACAGUGGGAGGUGAGGAGGCAGUAAGGAGAACUUUCUUUAAUGUUCUCCAGAUCUGUCAAACCAAGCUUUGCUCUGUGCUGCCAUGCCACCCAGACGUCUGGGUGGUAACUCAGACUUUGAAGUUGUCACUACUCCUAGCUUGAUGGCUUGGAGGAGGCCCAGGAACUACAGGAACUUAAGGCUCAUACAAUCACUUGUGCGGGACCUGCGUUCUCAGCCUCCGCCCACUCAGCCUGCCAGCCGCCCAGGUCACAGCCAAGUCCGAUUGCUGCCCAUGCCUCCUGGAAAAAGCAAGAAACCCGCUGGGCAGACACUUGUCGAGCUGCAGUGGUUGAAACUGGCGGGAGCUGAGUGCAGGGAGAGGGUGAGAAAAGAGGCGGGGGCUGGGCGUUUGCACAAGUUUAGGGUGGAGCCGUGGAGUGAGGCACUGUGGCGCAGGCUGGAAAGGUACAGAGGACACUUCCGUAGAGCAUGUUGUGGACUGUGUCUAUGGAUCCCCUUUGAUUUGGGGGGACAUGAAUAAAACAUUGGCGUUCUUUUGAAAUUCCCUUUGUUUGUAGGACUGUUUAUUUGGCUGCUCCACGAGGGGCCAGGCUGUAUAGAGACCACACAUGUGAGUGGAGGACAGGCCCACUCAUAUCAACAGGGCAAGUCCGGGGAAGGUUUCUACCCGCUGGGCACUGGAGCGCAAUAGCAGGCAGGGAUGAAAAGCAAGAGGCUGAGGGAGACACUGGGCUUUGGGGUGGAUUGCAUGGGCGAUGGUGGGAGUGGAGGGUGUGGUGGUGGGAGUGGAGGGUGUGGUGGUGGUAGUGGGGGUGGCGUUGGUUUACGUGGAAACAUAUUUGCUAUUAACUUUAUAUUCUGCCAGGGAUGCUGGAGUCCAGGCUGCCUGGCUGCCGGGCUGUGGGGUGGGUGAGGGGACAAUGAAGAGAAUACUAAAGUUUAACGUCCUUUUUAUGACCGACUUUUGCUGCUGGCACCUUUCUCUUGGAAAAAGACAUUGAUUCAUGACUGAACAGUCCCUACACACAGAGUAAAAGACAUCCUCGGAGGCUCUGAGUUGCUUUCUGUUUAAAGGAAUGGAUGGCGUCCAAAGGCUAUUCGGAAAGUGACUGAGAGAAAUCAGAGCAAAAGAGCUAAUGUUUUUAUUUCUGUCUCCUGCUCCCCCAGAUGAGUUUGAAAUUCUUGCUUCGGGCCAUAUGGAGUGGGUAUGUACUGCUCUCUGUUUCUACUCAACUGCCUUUCACUGUGUCAAGUGGACCCUUUGAAGCAGCCUUCUCUUACCUCAGAUUCUGACAUGAAAAAUUGUUUAAUUGCCUUUCAGUCUACACAAGAUAAGGGACCAUGUCUCCAAAUGGUAUAAUUCUCUUAACCAAACAAUAGCAGAACCACCCAGAGCAGUUUUCAAAGCAAGAAAAGAAUUCCGUACAUAUGUUAAGCAUUUUGUUCCUUUCAAAGUGCUUUGCUCUGUAGUAUUUUUUUAAAUUGGAUAAAUGCACACGAAGCAUGGCGAAAAUUGUAUCACAUAACAAAAAAGUAAGAUUUUAGAAUUUUGUAACAAUUAUUGAUUUGAUUUUCUCUAUAGGAAACUGAGGCACGAGGCGGGAAGUUAUGGCCUGACUCCCAGCAGCUGAGCUGAACCCGGACAGCGGUCUGCUUCCUUGCUCUGCUGUGCUCCCCUCUGCAUCAGGUGGCCUCGCCCAACACAGGACAACGACCAGCUUGGACCCCCCAGAGGCUUCCCAGAGUGGGUGGGGGCUGGAUUGGGGCCCACAGGGGCUGACCCCGUGGCCGAGUGGUUAAGUUCGCGUGCUCCGCUGCAGGCGGCCCAGUGUUUCGUUGGUUCGAAUCCUGGGCGUGGACAUGGCACUACUCAUCAAACCAUGCUGAGGCAGCGUCCCACAUGCCACAACAGAAGGACCCACAAUGAAGAAUAUACAACUAUGUACCGGGGGGCUUUGGGGAGAAAAAGGAA